AGCGAACGCUGGCGGCAGGCCUAACACAUGCAAGUCGAACGAACUCUUCGGAGUUAGUGGCGGACGGGUGAGUAACACGUGGGAACGUGCCUUUUGGUUCGGAAUAACUCAGGGAAACUUGUGCUAAUACCGAAUGUGCCCUUCGGGGGAAAGAUGUAUCGCCAUUAGAGCGGCCCGCGUCUGAUUAGCUAGUUGGUGAGGUAACGGCUCACCAAGGCGACGAUCAGUAGCUGGUCUGAGAGGAUGACCAGCCACACUGGGACUGAGACACGGCCCAGACUCCUACGGGAGGCAGCAGUGGGGAAUCUUGCGGAAUGGGCGAAAGCCUGACGCAGCCAUGCCGCGUGAAUGAUGAAGGUCUUAGGAUUGUAAAAUUCUUUCACCGGGGACGAUAAUGACGGUACCCGGAGAAGAAGCCCCGGCUAACUUCGUG
Molecule: ribosomal RNA, 433 nt
Filed under: uncultured bacterium
Lineage: Bacteria
Description: partial 16S ribosomal RNA
Rfam family: Bacterial small subunit ribosomal RNA
Source: RNAcentral